GUUUCGACAUUUCUUUUUCUUCGAGACGCUGUCCGAGAAGGUUACCUUAGCCAUUGGCUCAUGGCGGCUUUCUUUCCUGACGUUUUUCGUCAAUGCCUGGUGAAGUCUGAGCUUCUUCAUUGCAUUACGUGCACGUGAUCGUUGCCUCAUGAAGAGGGUCUCCACUAUUUUGCAAGACAAUUGAGGAGAAAAGAGGAAACUUGAAAAAGUAAUACUGGGUUUCUUGUUCGGUUUGAGCUGUUGAUGUUUGGUGUGCAGUGGUUUAGCAGUCAUUUAGUCGAGAAAUGCCCGAGAUGGAUGAUCAACUGCUGAGACUCCCUCACAUCGUCUUUUUCGAUGGAGACGCUGUCCGAGAAGGUUAAGCUUGGCCAUUGCAAACAACUUUCUUUCUUGACAUUAUUAGUAGUCUUAAAAAUGUAACAGCCUGUUGAAGUUCCAGCUUUUCAUUGCGUUACGUGUACGUGAUCGCUGCCGUUUGAUGAAGGUUCUCUAAGAGGGUCUCAACUACACUGCAAGACAACAUUGUGAUGGAAAUAGGAAAUCUGAAAUAGUAAUAAUAAUAAUUAACUGACUUUAAGCAUUAAGUUCUUGAUUCAAAUGAAAUGGCAACUACAUCCUGCUUAUGAAGAAGAUGGCUUUUAUGAAAAGAUCUUAAUCUGAUGGUAGAGAUUUUUCACUUUUUUGACUUAACAGUAAUCUUCAUUUCUCUCAAGUUAAAUAAUGUGAAUUUCAAGUGUCUAAUUGCCUCCACCACUAAAAUUAGGUUUCCAUGGUCAGUUUGAUGUUUGAGCAGUUUUGUGGUGGCUGUUUGGUGUGCAGUGAUUUUCCAGGAGAGAUGUGUUAAAAAGUAGUCAUGUUGGCUUUAGAGUUUUUUUUUCCAGGGACAAAUCGAAUCGCCUGAUGUUGGCAACAUGGCAAUCGUAUGCCACUGAGCCCGACUUAAUCUUCUCUGGACACUGUCAGUUACAUUGUUCGUGAUCAAUGCGGUCAACUCUAACAUUCUUCUUCACAAAUAUCUCAAAGGAUUAAUGGCUUGGUGAAGUUUAGCUUUUUCAUGGCAGUUGAAUGUCCACAUGGACUUGCGGUGAGCUGGUGAAGGAUGUGGUGAGCUGUUGCAUGAGGACCAUGUUUGGGGAAUUGCUGCAUGCUGUCUGUGGUUUUCAUCGUCAGUUGUUGCUCUUUGGUAUGCAGUUCAUGUUCAGGUGGUUUUGUUGCAGCCACUGCUGGUGAAAGGGAGUCCAAGUUGAGUUGAGCUGCAGCUUUUGAAGCAGUCAAUGGAGCUGGUGUUAUUCUUAAAUGUAACAUCAAUGAAGGCAUCUUGAAAUGGUCUUGGUGACGAUGCGAUCAUUAAUCUUCUGCAUGCAGUUUUUCUUAUCAAGAAGUGGAGAAGCAAAACUGCAAGAAAAGAUAUGGUAUCGACGCUAAUGGUUUUGCUGUCCGACUCCUGUUCAAGCUGUUGCUUUCCUGAAUUUUGCCGGAGUCUUUGAAGUAGCUGUUGGUGUCUUGAGUUACUGUGCCAGUUCAAUUCCGGUUGAUGAAAAUAUUAUAUCCAUGUCGUAUGUGAUUGUAGUAACCUUAAUAAGCUAUUUUGUUAUCCAUUAUAGUGUGUUGUGAACUGAUGUUCUUUAAACAGCAAUUAUGCAUCCUGACAUUUCCCUCACCCAUAUUUUUUUAUCAAAUAACUCUUUAAGUAAUGGAAUGUUUUAAGUGAAUUUGAAAUUUUCGUUGUGCGUUGGAAUUUGAUAUAUAUUGCACAAUCAAAUGUAAAUGUCGAAAUGAAUAAAAAUACAACAAAUUUUUU
This 1801-nucleotide long non-coding RNA is filed under the name Daphnia pulex (common water flea). RNAcentral's name for it is "uncharacterized LOC124199687, transcript variant X8". The record is from RNAcentral. Lineage: Eukaryota; Metazoa; Arthropoda; Branchiopoda; Diplostraca; Daphniidae.